This 468-nucleotide ribosomal RNA is filed under the name uncultured bacterium. Its description in RNAcentral is "partial 16S ribosomal RNA". It matches the Rfam family "Bacterial small subunit ribosomal RNA", at positions 28 to 507 of the family's 1533-position model. The record is from RNAcentral.
GACGAAUGCUGGCGGCGUGCUUAACACAUGCAAGUCGAACGGAAAGGCCCUGCUUUUGUGCGGUGCUCGAGUGGCGAACGGGUGAGUAACACGUGAGUAACCUGCCCUUGACUUUGGGAUAACUUCAGGAAACUGGGGCUAAUACCGGAUAGGAGCUCCUGCUGCAUGGUGGGGGUUGGAAAGUUUCGGCGGUUGGGGAUGGACUCGCGGCUUAUCAGCUUGUUGGUGGGGUAGUGGCUUACCAAGGCUUUGACGGGUAGCCGGCCUGAGAGGGUGACCGGCCACAUUGGGACUGAGAUACGGCCCAGACUCCUACGGGAGGCAGCAGUGGGGAAUAUUGCACAAUGGGCGGAAGCCUGAUGCAGCAACGCCGCGUGCGGGAUGACGGCCUUCGGGUUGUAAACCGCUUUCGCCUGUGACGAAGCGUGAGUGACGGUAAUGGGUAAAGAAGCACCGGCUAACUACGUG